AUCAUAUUCUGUUUCACUUGGUUUUUUAUUCUUGUCACUUGGACUUGGAUAAGGGUAGGUAUCUGGGGAUUGGACUCUCAUAUUUUCCAAUGUUUUUGUAGAUUUUCCCACUCAUAUAAAAUCCUAAAUUUUAUGAACUAAUGUCUGAAUAUACUUAUCUGACAUGGAUAGUUGGAUACUUUAUGGUAAAUUGAAGAGUUGAAGUAA
Molecule: unclassified non-coding RNA, 207 nt
Filed under: Hevea brasiliensis (rubber tree)
Lineage: Eukaryota; Viridiplantae; Streptophyta; Magnoliopsida; Malpighiales; Euphorbiaceae
Source: RNAcentral